Molecule: transfer RNA, 95 nt
Filed under: Deltaproteobacteria bacterium
Lineage: Bacteria; Pseudomonadati; Myxococcota; Myxococcia
Also listed under: 1 other name
Description: tRNA-Ser
Rfam family: tRNA
About the family: Transfer RNA (tRNA) molecules are approximately 80 nucleotides in length.
Source: RNAcentral
GGAGAGGUGACCGAGCCCGGUUUAAGGUGCACGACUGGAAAUCGUGUGUACCCCUAAAAAGGGUACCGGGGGUUCGAAUCCCCCCCUCUCCGCCA